Molecule: long non-coding RNA, 550 nt
Organism: Cottoperca gobio
Lineage: Eukaryota; Metazoa; Chordata; Actinopteri; Perciformes; Bovichtidae
Exons: 4
Source: RefSeq, a predicted model, not a curated record
AUAUCAUGCUGAACACAGUCUGAGUGCUGAGCUGUGAUAGGCUGGAGGCCGUCACCUGACCGCACCCACCUCCUCGUCCAUCUCCCGCUGUCAGCACGCACAGCAUCUCCUCCGUUACCUGGAAGGAGACGGCGCCCCGGUGAGUCGGUUCGACCCUCGCGACACUCGAAGAUGGACAGAAGCUCCUACGGUGCACAACACAGCAGCAAUACACAAACGCAUAUUACGAACAAGAGAUCCAGACGUCCAGGAUCCACGGCCCCCAGCUCCCCCAGACACUCCCCACAGAGGAGCCUGGCCUCCGGGGACGAGUCCUGGCAGCCCUUCAGCAGCACCGACACCAGGCUGGAGAUGACCGGCUCCACCGCCUCACUCGCACAAACGUGCUGCAGCAGCCACUCCUGCAGUCCGUGCAACAUAAUAAAAACUAAAAUAUAUAUUGUAUGGUAAAGAACAUUAUGGUUUUCCAGGACCGUUGGACCCCUGAGUGUUUGUGUACCUGCUUGCUGUGCAUCAUGUCCCUGAGGCUGGUCAGCGCGUGAAUCCUGAC